This 377-nucleotide ribosomal RNA is filed under the name Provanna buccinoides. Its description in RNAcentral is "partial 16S ribosomal RNA". It matches the Rfam family "Bacterial large subunit ribosomal RNA", at positions 1973 to 2562 of the family's 2925-position model. The record is from RNAcentral. Lineage: Eukaryota; Metazoa; Mollusca; Gastropoda; Provannidae.
CCUAUAAUUGAGGGCUGGAAUGAAUGGUUUGACAAGAGUAAUACUGUCUCUUUAAGAUUUCUCAAAAUUUAAUUUAUAGGUCAAGAAUCCUAGAUAAAAUUAAAAGACAAGAAGACCCUAUCGAGCUUUAAAAGAGAGCAUGAAAUAAAAUUAAUAUAUUAUUAUAUUUAAAGUCAUCUAAUAUUUUGGUUGGGGCGACUAAGGAACAUUUAAAGCUUCUUAUUUUAUUUUAAAACUGAAAAGUUUUGAUCCAGUUAUUGCUGAUUAAAAAAAUUAGUUACCGUAGGGAUAACAGCAUAAUCUCUCUUAAGAGCUCAUAUCGAAAGAGAGGUUUGUGACCUCGAUGUUGGACUAGAAUAUCCUAAAGAUGCAGAAGU